UACAGAGGUCCCGAGCGUUGUCCGGAAUUACUGGGCGUAAAGAGCUCGUAGGCGGUUUGUCGCGUUGUUCGUGAAAACUCACAGCUCAACUGUGGGCGUGCGGGCGAUACGGGCAGACUGGAGUACUGCAGGGGAGACUGGAAUUCCUGGUGUAGCGGUGGAAUGCGCAGAUAUCAGGAGGAACACCGGUGGCGAAGGCGGGUCUCUGGGCAGUAACUGACGCUGAGGAGCGAAAGCGUGGGGAGCGAACAGG
This 253-nucleotide ribosomal RNA is filed under the name uncultured bacterium. Its description in RNAcentral is "partial 16S ribosomal RNA". It matches the Rfam family "Bacterial small subunit ribosomal RNA", at positions 524 to 776 of the family's 1533-position model. The record is from RNAcentral.